UGGGGGAAUAUUGCACAAUGGGCGCAAGCCUGAUGCAGCAACGCCGCGUGAGGGACGACGGCCUUCGGGUUGUAAACCUCUUUUAGUAGGGAAGAAGCGAAAGUGACGGUACCUGCAGAAAAAGCACCGGCUAACUACGUGCCAGCAGCCGCGGUAAUACGUAGGGUGCGAGCGUUGUCCGGAAUUAUUGGGCGUAAAGAGCUCGUAGGCGGUCUGUCGCGUCUGCUGUGAAAACCCGAGGCUCAACCUCGGGCCUGCAGUGGGUACGGGCAGACUAGAGUGCGGUAGGGGAGAAUGGAAUUCCUGGUGUAGCGGUGGAAUGCGCAGAUAUCAGGAGGAACACCGAUGGCGAGGGCAGUUCUCUGGGCCGUAACUGACGCUGAGGAGCGAAACGCGUGGGGAGCGAACAGGAUUAGAUACCCUGGUAGUCCACGCCGUAAACGUUGGGCGCUAGAUGUGGGGACCAUUCCACGGUUUCCGUGUC
Molecule: ribosomal RNA, 484 nt
Filed under: uncultured bacterium
Lineage: Bacteria
Description: partial 16S ribosomal RNA
Rfam family: Bacterial small subunit ribosomal RNA
Source: RNAcentral